RNAcentral lists this ribosomal RNA (376 nucleotides) under uncultured bacterium. Its description in RNAcentral is "bacterial SSU rRNA". It matches the Rfam family "Bacterial small subunit ribosomal RNA", at positions 521 to 896 of the family's 1533-position model. The record is from RNAcentral.
UAAUACGUAGGGUGCAGGCGUUAAUCGGAAUUACUGGGCGUAAAGCGUGCGCAGGCGGUUUCUUAAGUCAGAUGUGAAAGCCCCGGGCUUAACCUGGGAACUGCGUUUGAAACUGGGAGACUUGAGUGUGGCAGAGGGGGGUGGAAUUCCACGUGUAGCAGUGAAAUGCGUAGAUAUGUGGAGGAACACCAAUGGCGAAGGCAGCCCCCUGGGUCAACACUGACGCUCAUGCACGAAAGCGUGGGGAGCAAACAGGAUUAGAUACCCUGGUAGUCCACGCCCUAAACGAUGUCAACUGGUUGUUGGGGGAUUAACUCCCUUAGUAACGAAGCUAACGCGUGAAGUUGACCGCCUGGGGAGUACGGCCGCAAGGUUA